Molecule: ribosomal RNA, 407 nt
Filed under: uncultured bacterium
Lineage: Bacteria
Description: partial 16S ribosomal RNA
Rfam family: Bacterial small subunit ribosomal RNA
Source: RNAcentral
GACGAACGCUGGCGGCGUGCCUAAUACAUGCAAGUAGGACGCAGUUGCGAACGGGUGAGUAACGCGUAGGUAAAUGCCUAUUAGAGGGGGAUAACUAUUGGAAACGAUAGCUAAUACCGCAUACUCGUAGAUGGACCUGCGUUGUAUUAGCUAGUAGGUUGGGUAUUGGCAUACCUAGGCGACGAUACAUAGCCGACCUGUGAGGGUGAGAGGACACACUGGGACUGAGACACGGCCCAGACUCCUACCGGAGGCAGCAGGAGGGAAUCUUCGGCAAUGGGGGGAACCCUGACCGAGCAACGCCGCGUGAGUGAAGAAGGUUUUCGGAUCGUAAAGCUCUGUUGUUAAGGAAGCGGUACUUAACCAGAAAGGGACGGCUAACUACGUGCCAGCAGCCGCGGUAAUUC